CGGGAUUCACGACGACCGAGC
Molecule: microRNA, 21 nt
Filed under: Parasteatoda tepidariorum (common house spider)
Lineage: Eukaryota; Metazoa; Arthropoda; Arachnida; Araneae; Theridiidae
Description: pte-miR-981-5p
Gene: pte-miR-981-5p
Source: miRBase by way of RNAcentral